UUUUCUCCAUUGUGGAUUGGCCUUCGCAUCUUUGAACGGUACAAUUCCUAAAGCAGUUUUCGUUUCUCUGUUACCCCUUCCAAACUUCGUUAUGUUGUAUAAACAGGGUUGUCGUUAGUUUCUUCCCAUUUUCUUCUUUACUUGGACUUGUCUCCUCACCGCCGAACAAGAUAGAGGCAUCGGGCGACGAAGGAGAGUCAUUUCCCCUUCCUUUACGUUUUCCAUUGUGCCAUUGUGGAGAGGUGCAGUUCAAAUCCAAAACUUACCAUCCCAAGAAGAACUUAAUCCCUUUUUUAUAGUAGUGACUGAGCCAAAACUCAGUGGUUUUUGGAGAAUUCAUCACUUCCUCUCCUCUUCGAUAUGGGAACCUAAGAACAUUUUCAUUUCACCCUCUGCAAGAGAAACGAAAGAUCCAUUAUUGCCAAUGGUUGAGGUAUGGAGAAUUCUUCUUUUUACAUCACUUUCGUUUCCUUCCAUCGAUUGAGAAAGCACUCAAUCACUUUCAUUGUAGUGUAAUGAAUAUCUCCUCGUGCUCCCUCCCACUGUCGGACGAAUCAAAGACUAAUUGUGGACUUUCAAAGAACCAACUCAUGACGCCAAUUUUUCUAGCUAACAGUGGAUACAUAUUCUAAUCAUUUCAGCAUCAAUCAAGACAUAUCCCUUGAAUUUUGGGUUCCAAACAGGGGAUGAAAACAGUUUUGGUUAUUGGCCCCUUCCGAUAAUUCCAGGAUUUUAGGCCCUUAUUCAAUCUUGGUCAUUCACAACUUAAUUAAGUACAAAGAGAUGUAAAACAUAUAAAAAAGCCUUUUCCUUUCCACCUUUCCAUGACAUA
This is a non-coding RNA of Coffea arabica (coffee), 832 nucleotides long. The record is from RefSeq and is a predicted model, not a curated record. Lineage: Eukaryota; Viridiplantae; Streptophyta; Magnoliopsida; Gentianales; Rubiaceae.